UACGGGGGGGGCAAGCGUUGUUCGGAAUUACUGGGCUUAAAGGGUGCGUAGGCGGCGCGGAAAGUAGGGUGUGAAAUCCCUCGGCUCAACCGAGGAACUGCGCCCUAAACUACCGUGCUUGAGGGAGAUAGAGGUGAGCGGAACUUAGGGUGGAGCGGUGAAAUGCGUUGAUAUCCUAAGGAACACCGGUGGCGAAAGCGGCUCACUGGAUCUCUUCUGACGCUGAGGCACGAAAGCUAGGGUAGCGAACGGG
RNAcentral lists this ribosomal RNA (253 nucleotides) under uncultured bacterium. RNAcentral describes it as "partial 16S ribosomal RNA". It matches the Rfam family "Bacterial small subunit ribosomal RNA", at positions 524 to 776 of the family's 1533-position model. The record is from RNAcentral.